This 598-nucleotide long non-coding RNA is filed under the name Cricetulus griseus (Chinese hamster). Its description in RNAcentral is "lncRNA (ENSCGRG00015041782.1)". Lineage: Eukaryota; Metazoa; Chordata; Mammalia; Rodentia; Cricetidae. The record is from RNAcentral.
UGUUAGUUGACGAUGCAAUCAGCAUGCUGAUUAAGGUUGCUUGGUUUUUUACUAAACAUUAACUGAAUGAAAACGGUAGUCCUUGUUCUGCUUGGGGGGCUUUAAGGAAGCAAAUGGACUUUCAGAACAGAGAUUGUCAAUAAAGUUGUGGAUUUGUCUAAUGAGGAGAAGAGCUGUAGCCAUUCCUUUUGGGCAAAUACUAAGAAGAAUCAACAGCCAUUUCUAAGAGGGAUAUCCAUCUGGAGUUCUGGAUGUGUCCUCUGAGAAGGUUCCCAUGACACCAAGUGCUCUGGAGGUCAACACCGAUCCUGAGUGAAGAUUGCAGCAACUGAGUAUGGAUGCACUGCUCUCCAGGCUCCUGGAUGUGGAGCUGUUCAUUUCUCCUCCAGAGCUGGAUGGAGGCCCAGGCUGCCUCGCAGCAUUGAGCGAUGCCAUGCCAAUUCCAGGCAAGGUCUUUAUUGCUGGAACUGUUGCAUAAUGACAGCUUUAUUCAUGUGAAAAUGCAGAAUGCAUUUUGACUGUAUGAAAUUGUUUAUGUUCAUCAGAAAUGUUAUUUGUCUUCACAAAGUCUGGUUUCAAUGAACCAGCUAUGUAACAG